Molecule: long non-coding RNA, 816 nt
Filed under: Phasianus colchicus (ring-necked pheasant)
Lineage: Eukaryota; Metazoa; Chordata; Aves; Galliformes; Phasianidae
Description: lncRNA (ENSPCLG00000003167.1)
Source: RNAcentral
CGUUGUCAUAUAUAUCCUUAUUCCUUCAAGUCAAGAUAGGAACUGCAUUAAGUAAUGGCAACAAGAUUUACAUGUCUACUCAACAACCCAGCAUAGCCGUUUUCUUAGCUACUCUCCACAAGUCAAAAUCAUGCUUACACAUUAGAAACUUUUUAAUCAAGUCUGUAGGUCCAUAUAAAAAAGGGCACGUUUUUGUUUUGAGUUAGUGUAACCAUAUGAUUUAAGAAUUUCUGUAAACCUCUACAUUGCCACAGAGAAUUUACUGGCAUCAUCUUGUUUUCUUGUUUUUAUAUCAGAAUGCUAUUGUAGAACAUCUAACUGUGGGUCUUGUUUUUUUUUUCUUGCAGGGUUUUGUCUGUUUUCAUGGAUUGUUUUUCAGAGUACGUGAAUGAUUUAAAGAUAAUACAGGCACUGCUAUUGUUCAUUUCAAGACUUCUCCCACCUGGAUUGGAAGUGGGAAAGUUUUGGCAGUUAUUGCCACUGAUGGCUUAUAGUCUUCAGCCUGACAAUCAUCCAGGAAACUGCUGGCCCUUCCCACAAAGUCAAGGACAUAUCUUCAUCAAGUUGCUUGUAGCCAUCUUUCCCACAGCAGUUACGAUAAACCACGGAAUUCCAGCAACAGCACACCAUGCAGACAGCAUCUCCAGUGCUCUGGCUUCAUCAGUUACAUAAGGCUGCAACUGCUGAGCAACCAGGGCCACCUAGAGUACAUCUGUGUGUAUCAUGAAGGUACUCUACCAUGACAGUAAUGCUACGGGAAAGCUAUCUGGUUUACUUCAGAAUAAAUAACUUUUCCCAUGUGGAAUCUCUUUUGUA